GAUGAACGCUGGCGGCGUGCCUAAUACAUGCAAGUCGAGCGAACGGACGAGAAGCUUGCUUCUCUGAUGUUAGCGGCGGACGGGCGAGUAACACGUGGAUAACCUACCUAUAAGACUGGGAUAACUUCGGGAAACCGGAGCUAAUACCGGAUGAUAUUUUGAACCGCAUGGUUCAAAAGUGAAAGACGGUCUUGCUGUCACUUAUAGAUGGAUCCGCGCUGCAUUAGCUAGUUGGUAAGGUAACGGCUUACCAAGGCAACGAUGCAUAGCCGACCUGAGAGGGUGAUCGGCCACACUGGAACUGAGACACGGUCCAGACUCCUACGGGAGGCAGCAGUAGGGAAUCUUCCGCAAUGGGCGAAAGCCUGACGGAGCAACGUCGCGUGAGUGAUGAAGGUCUUCGGAUCGUAAAACUCUGUUAUUAGGGAAGAACAUAUGUGUAAGUAACUGUGCACAUCUUGACGGUACCUAAUCAGAAAGCCACGGCUAACUACGUG
This 497-nucleotide ribosomal RNA is filed under the name uncultured bacterium. Its description in RNAcentral is "partial 16S ribosomal RNA". It matches the Rfam family "Bacterial small subunit ribosomal RNA", at positions 28 to 507 of the family's 1533-position model. The record is from RNAcentral.